GAAAAUUUAAUAGUAUAUUUGGUGUUGGGGUAUGCUUACAGGAGAAGAGCCUGAGAGCCACAUGAAGUAACCCUAGAUUGGAUUGCCUGUGGAAGUUCAGUUGUUGUCAGCAUCUCCUCCAGAAGACGUAACGUACAGCCUCUAUGCCCUGUGGAAUUCUGGAGAGUGCAUGCUUUCAUCGGAGACUUCACAAAGCACUCACAACAGGGAGCUGAAAGCACAGACUUCUGCCAAAGGAUCUUCACUCCUGAGAUGUGUUUUCCCGUUAAUUCACUGGAGAUGGAAGCCACUGACCUUCCAACUUAUGGUAUUUUUUUCUUCGACUGUGUAUUCUUUAACAUGCAAAAGAGAUGUCCAGCUUGUUCUGACUGAGGAAAAUGUCAUACCUUAGCACUAUUUAUUUCACAAACGCUAUUUCACAAUGCACACAAUUACUCCAGAAAUUAAAUAAUAUUAAGUAGACUAUGAUCUUUUUCAAAAUAUAUGAAUAAAAGGAAUGUAUGAGAACUGUUGAGUCA
This 518-nucleotide long non-coding RNA is filed under the name Chrysolophus pictus (golden pheasant). Its description in RNAcentral is "lncRNA (ENSCPIG00010001046.1)". The record is from RNAcentral. Lineage: Eukaryota; Metazoa; Chordata; Aves; Galliformes; Phasianidae.